GACGAACGCUGGCGGCGUGCUUAACACAUGCAAGUCGAACGGGACGGCCCUGCUUGCAGGGUACUCGAGUGGCGAACGGGUGAGUAACACGUGGGUGAUCUGCCCCGCACUUCGGGCUAAGCUUGGGAGACUGGGUCUAAUACCGGAGAGGAGCCAUCUUCAGAGUGGUGGUUGGAAAGUUUUUUCGGUGUGGGAUGAGCUCGCGUGCGAUCAGCUUGUUGGUGGGGUAAUGGCCUACCAAGGCGGCGACGGGUAGCCGGCCUGAGAGGGUGUACGGCCACACUGGACCUGAGAUACGGCCCCGAUUCCUACGGGAGGCAGCAGUGGGGAAUAUUGCACAAUGGGCGCAAGCCUGAUGCAGCGACGCCGCGUGGGGGAUGAAGGCCUUCGGGUUGUAAGCUCCUGUCGCUAGGGACGAGGCUGGUUUGUGACGGUACCUGGAUAAGAAGCACCGGCUAACUACGUG
Molecule: ribosomal RNA, 466 nt
Filed under: uncultured bacterium
Lineage: Bacteria
Description: partial 16S ribosomal RNA
Rfam family: Bacterial small subunit ribosomal RNA
Source: RNAcentral